UACUAGAGUAGCACUCGCAUAUCAAUAAGCGGAGGAAAAGAAACUAACAAGGAUUCCCCUAGUAACGGCGAGUGAAGCGGGAAGAGCUCAAAUUUGAAAUCUUAAAGGGUUUCCCUUUACGAAUUGUAGUUUAAAGAAGUGUUUUCUGUUGAGGUUUUGGUAAAAGUUCUUUGGAAUAGGACAUCAUAGAGGGUGAGAAUCCCGUAUUUGACCUUUACUUUCAACUUUGUGAUACACUUUCAAAGAGUCGGAUUGUUUGGGAAUGCAGUCCAAAAUGGGUGGUAAAUUUCAUCUAAAGCUAAAUAUUGGCGAGAGACUGAUAGCGAACAAGUACCGUGAUGGGAAAGAUGAAAAGAACUUUGAAAAGAGAGUUAAACAGUACGUGAAAUUGUCAAAAGGGAAGCGUUUGACACCAGUGUUGUUUUUCUGAAAAUCAAUUAAAGAACUGUUUAUGCUAAGCUGUUUAGACUUUAUCAGCUAUCUGUUUAGUUUUGAGCUUUUCUUUAAUGCACUUUUCAGUUAACAAGUCAACAUCAAUUUCUUUUGCUGUAAAAAAGCUUGAGGAAGGUGGCUUGAGAUUCGUCUUAAGUGUUUAUAACCUCUUGCCUAUGCAGUCGGAGAGAUUGAGGUCUGCAGCGUAGAUCCUUCGGGGCUAAAUGCAUUUGUGCUAAGUUAUAGCAUUUUAUAGACAACUUGUUGACUAUGAUUUGUCUUGUAGCUUACUCGCUUAUGUUAUUUUACCUACGCUUAGGAUGUUGAACUACUGAGACAUAGA
This 775-nucleotide ribosomal RNA is filed under the name uncultured Neocallimastigales. RNAcentral describes it as "partial large subunit ribosomal RNA". It matches the Rfam family "Eukaryotic large subunit ribosomal RNA", at positions 20 to 644 of the family's 3401-position model. Lineage: Eukaryota; Fungi; Neocallimastigomycota; Neocallimastigomycetes; Neocallimastigales. The record is from RNAcentral.